GGUAUUGCCCUAGUAACGGCGAGUGAAGCGGCAACAGCUCAAAUUUGAAAUCUGGCUCUUUUAGAGUCCGAGUUGUAAUUUGCAGAGGGCGCUUUGGCUUUGGCAGCGGUCCAAGUUCCUUGGAACAGGACGUCACAGAGGGUGAGAAUCCCGUACGUGGUCGCUGGCUAUUGCCGUGUAAAGCCCCUUCGACGAGUCGAGUUGUUUGGGAAUGCAGCUCUAAAUGGGAGGUACAUUUCUUCUAAAGCUAAAUAUUGGCCAGAGACCGAUAGCGCACAAGUAGAGUGAUCGAAAGAUGAAAAGCACUUUGGAAAGAGAGUCAAACAGCACGUGAAAUUGUUGAAAGGGAAGCGCUUGCAGCCAGACUUGCUUACAGUUGCUCAUCCGGGCUUUUGCCCGGUGCACUCUUCUGUAGGCAGGCCAGCAUCAGUUUGGGCGGUAGGAUAAAGGUCUCUGUCACGUACCUCUCUUCGGGGAGGCCUUAUAGGGGAGACGACAUACUACCAGCCUGGACUGAGGUCCGCGCAUCUGCUAGGAUGCUGGCGUAAUGGCUGUAAGCGGCCC
RNAcentral lists this ribosomal RNA (564 nucleotides) under Alternaria sp. RNAcentral describes it as "LSU rRNA". It matches the Rfam family "Eukaryotic large subunit ribosomal RNA", at positions 71 to 650 of the family's 3401-position model. The record is from RNAcentral. Lineage: Eukaryota; Fungi; Ascomycota; Dothideomycetes; Pleosporales; Pleosporaceae.